AAUCCUCAUUUCAGAUGCCCAUUCCUCUCUUCUCGACACCGUUCGAUAACAAGGGAUACUAGUGGAGUUCCUAAGGUUCUUACAAGAGAGUUUGAACAAGUUCCCUCGAAGGACUAGUACGCCAUCUGGGGUUCAUAGUCAAGCACAACAAUCUGAAGAACAGCUACAACAACAGCAACAAUAGCAUUAGCAGCAGCAACAACAUCAUCCAAACUAUAGUUUGAAGUAAAAAAUGUUCAAGAUUAUAAAACUUUAUUAUGUUAUGCUUUCAAACUUAAGUUAGAACUAAUAUCUUAUGAAGUAGACACAUUCAUGGUUUGAAUUAGUUAUUUUUUAAUGUAAUACUUAUGGUUUAUCAAUUUAUUGAGAAUUACAUUUUAUGAUUAA
Molecule: long non-coding RNA, 387 nt
Organism: Humulus lupulus (European hop)
Lineage: Eukaryota; Viridiplantae; Streptophyta; Magnoliopsida; Rosales; Cannabaceae
Exons: 3
Source: RefSeq, a predicted model, not a curated record